UACGGGGGGGGGCAAGCGUUGUUCGGAAUUAUUGGGCGUAAAGCGCGUGUAGGCGGCUUUGCAAGUCGGGUGUGAAAGCCCUCAGCUCAACUGAGGAAGUGCGCCCGAAACUGCAGAGCUUGAGUGCCGGAGAGGGUGGCGGAAUUCCCCAAGUAGAGGUGAAAUUCGUAGAUAUGGGGGAGGAACACCGGUGGCGAAGGCGGCCACCUGGACGGUAACUGGACGCUGAGACGCGAAAGCGUGGGGAGCAAACAGG
Molecule: ribosomal RNA, 256 nt
Filed under: uncultured bacterium
Lineage: Bacteria
Description: partial 16S ribosomal RNA
Rfam family: Bacterial small subunit ribosomal RNA
Source: RNAcentral